UCUAAUGAUGUUAAAUUACAAUUUAUAUAAAAUGCUUUGUAUUAAUAUAAAAAUUCAAAAUCCACUGACAAAAAGUAUUUUGCUCUUCUUUAUGUGUGAAUGGCAUGGUUGUUUUUUUCUUCUGAUACACUCAUACCGUGUGAGGACAAGGUGCUGCAGAGAGCUAUAUUUUAUGAUAGACGGUCAUCGGUCAGACUGCGCACAUAUACCGCAGUGAUACGUUUCAUCACAGCAUGUUUCAGAAUGAGGGGGGCGCAGGAGAGGCGCUAAUUACACCCCGGGAUGCAAGCGAGACGACCGGCGUCAUGGCAGGGGAGGGGUGACUGCUCUCUCGUCCUUCUGAGAUGCCAAGGUCGUGCGCCGAGAGAAGCCUCUUCGGAAGCGUGAGUGCAGACGGUUAAAGAGAAUAAGCAUGACUUGCCAUCUUGGGCUUUAGCAUCACACCCCUCCCUCUGCUAUGGGACAUAUCUUGAUCUACACGGGGACUGGGAUUGAAUGGACAGAGCAUGAGCGCUGGUGAUGCCUUGAGCUUCCUGGGACGGCUUCCGGACCCCGGUAGUUGUUCUGGCCCUGAAACAAGAGAACAGAGACAGUGGGAUCAUUCUCCACCCUCCCAACGUAAACCGCUCACCACCAAGUACAGGCAGGACUACUCGAGAGAUGAG
Long non-coding RNA from Anguilla anguilla (European eel), 665 nucleotides. RefSeq lists it as uncharacterized. The record is from RefSeq and is a predicted model, not a curated record. Lineage: Eukaryota; Metazoa; Chordata; Actinopteri; Anguilliformes; Anguillidae. The transcript has 4 exons.